RNAcentral lists this ribosomal RNA (492 nucleotides) under uncultured bacterium. RNAcentral describes it as "partial 16S ribosomal RNA". It matches the Rfam family "Bacterial small subunit ribosomal RNA", at positions 29 to 507 of the family's 1533-position model. The record is from RNAcentral.
AGUGAACGCUGGCGGUAGGCCUAACACAUGCAAGUCGAACGGCAGCACAGUAAGAGCUUGCUCUUACGGGUGGCGAGUGGCGGACGGGUGAGGAAUACAUCGGAAUCUACUUUUUCGUGGGGGAUAACGUAGGGGAACUUACGCUAAUACCGCAUACGACCUACGGGUGAAAGCAGGGGAUCUUCGGACCUUGCGCGAUUGAAUGAGCCGAUGUCGGAUUAGCUAGUUGGCGGGGUAAAGGCCCACCAAGGCGACGAUCCGUAGCUGGUCUGAGAGGAUGAUCAGCCACACUGGAACUGAGACACGGUCCAGACUACUACGGGAGGCAGCAGUGGGGAAUAUUGGACAAUGGGCGCAAGCCUGAUCCAGCCAUACCGCGUGGGUGAAGAAGGCCUUCGGGUUGUAAAGCCCUUUUGUUGGGAAAGAAAAGCAGCAGGUUAAUACCCCGCUGUUCUGACGGUACCCAAAGAAUAAGCACCGGCUAACUUCGUG